CCAGUUAGCUCAGUUGGUAGAGCAGAGGACUGAAAAUCCUCGUGUCUGGGGUUCGAAUCCCUAA
Molecule: transfer RNA, 64 nt
Filed under: human gut metagenome
Also listed under: 1 other name
Rfam family: tRNA
About the family: Transfer RNA (tRNA) molecules are approximately 80 nucleotides in length. Their secondary structure includes four short double-helical elements and three loops (D, anti-codon, and T loops).
Source: RNAcentral